RNAcentral lists this ribosomal RNA (840 nucleotides) under Clostridium botulinum C/D. RNAcentral's name for it is "partial 23S ribosomal RNA". It matches the Rfam family "Bacterial large subunit ribosomal RNA", at positions 797 to 1638 of the family's 2925-position model. Lineage: Bacteria; Bacillati; Bacillota; Clostridia; Eubacteriales; Clostridiaceae. The record is from RNAcentral.
CCAUGGGAUGAGCUGUGGAUAGCGGAGAAAUUCCAAUCGAACUCGGAGAUAGCUGGUUCUCCUCGAAAUAGCUUUAGGGCUAGCGUCGGGUAAUUGAGUAGUGGAGGUAGAGCACUGAAUGGGCUAGGGGCUGACAACAGUUACUGAACCCUAUCAAACUCCGAAUGCCAUAUACUUGUACCCCGGCAGUCAGACUACGAAUGAUAAGAUCCGUGGUCAAAAGGGAAACAGCCCAGACCAUCAGCUAAGGUCCCAAAGUGUAAGUUAAGUGGGAAAGGAUGUGGGAUUUCUAAGACAACUAGGAUGUUGGCUUAGAAGCAGCCACUCAUUUAAAGAGUGCGUAAUAGCUCACUAGUCGAGAGAUCCUGCGCCGAAGAUGUAACGGGGCUCAAACUUACCACCGAAGCUAUGGAUGUGUACUAUGUACACGUGGUAGAGGAGCUUUCUGUACAGGUUGAAGUCAUACCGUAAGGAGUGGUGGACAGUACAGAAGUGAGAAUGCUGGCAUAAGUAGCGAAAAACAAGUGAGAAUCUUGUUGACCGAAUAUCUAAGGUUUCCUGGGGAAGGCUCGUCCUCCCAGGGUUAGUCGGGACCUAAGCCGAGGCCGAAAGGCGUAGGUGAUGGACAACUGGUUGAUAUUCCAGUACCACCAUAAUGCGUUUGACAAAUGGGAUGACGCAGGAGGAUAGGAUGUGCGCACUAUUGGAUGUGCGUCUAAGCACUUAGGGUGUUAAGUAGGCAAAUCCGCUUAACAUUAAGCCUGAGGUGUGAUGGGGAGCCUAUUUUGGCGAAGUAUCUGAUUCCACGCUGCCAAGAAAAGUCUCUAUGGAGCAAAAUGG